RNAcentral lists this ribosomal RNA (253 nucleotides) under uncultured bacterium. RNAcentral describes it as "partial 16S ribosomal RNA". It matches the Rfam family "Bacterial small subunit ribosomal RNA", at positions 524 to 776 of the family's 1533-position model. The record is from RNAcentral.
UACAGAGGUCCCAAGCGUUGUUCGGAUUCAUUGGGCGUAAAGGGUGCGUAGGUGGUAGACUAAGUCGGAUGUGAAAUCCCAGGGCUCAACCCUGGAACUGCAUUCGAUACUGGCCUGCUCGAGGACUGGAGAGGAGAUUGGAAUUCAUGGUGUAGCAGUGAAAUGCGUAGAUAUCAUGAGGAAGACCAGUAGCGAAGGCGGAUCUCUGGACAGUUCCUGACACUGAGGCACGAAGGCUAGGGGAGCAAACGGG